This 502-nucleotide ribosomal RNA is filed under the name uncultured bacterium. RNAcentral describes it as "partial 16S ribosomal RNA". It matches the Rfam family "Bacterial small subunit ribosomal RNA", at positions 29 to 523 of the family's 1533-position model. The record is from RNAcentral.
AGUGAACGCUGGCGGUAGGCCUAACACAUGCAAGUCGAACGGCAGCACGGGAGCUUGCUCCUGGUGGCGAGUGGCGAACGGGUGAGUAAUAUAUCGGAACGUAUCCAAUAAUGGGGGAUAACUAGUCGAAAGAUUAGCUAAUACCGCAUACGCCCUGAGGGGGAAAGCUGGGGAUCUUCGGACCUGGCGUUAAUGGAGCGGCCGAUAUCUGAUUAGCUAGUAGGUGGGGUAAAAGCUCACCUAGGCGACGAUCAGUAGCUGGUCUGGGAGGACGACCAGCCACACUGGAACUGGGAAACGGUCCAGACUCCUACGGGAGGAAGCAGUGGGGAAUUUUGGACAAUGGGCGCAAGCCUGCUCCAGCCAUUCCGCGUGAGUGAAGAGGGCCUUCGGGUUGUAAAGCUCUUUCGCAAGGGAAGAAAACUUAUCCUCUAACAUAGGAUGAGGUUGACGGUACCUUGAUAAGAAGCACCGGCUAACUACGUGCCAGCAGCCGCCGUAA